RNAcentral lists this ribosomal RNA (497 nucleotides) under uncultured bacterium. RNAcentral describes it as "partial 16S ribosomal RNA". It matches the Rfam family "Bacterial small subunit ribosomal RNA", at positions 28 to 507 of the family's 1533-position model. The record is from RNAcentral.
GAUGAACGCUGGCAGCGUGCCUAAUACAUGCAAGUCGAGCGAACAGAUGAGGAGCUUGCUCCUCUGACGUUAGCGGCGGACGGGUGAGUAACACGUGGAUAACCUACCUAUAAGACUGGGAUAACUUCGGGAAACCGGAGCUAAUACCGGAUAAUAUAUUGAACCGCAUGGUUCAAUAGUGAAAGACGGUUUUGCUGUCACUUAUAGAUGGAUCCGCGCCGCAUUAGCUAGUUGGUAAGGUAACGGCUUACCAAGGCAACGAUGCGUAGCCGACCUGAGAGGGUGAUCGGCCACACUGGAACUGAGACACGGUCCAGACUCCUACGGGAGGCAGCAGUAGGGAAUCUUCCGCAAUGGGCGAAAGCUUGACGGAGCAACGCCGCGUGAGUGAUGAAGGUCUUCGGAUCGUAAAACUCUGUUAUUAGGGAAGAACAAAUGUGUAAGUAACUAUGCACGUCUUGACGGUACCUAAUCAGAAAGCCACGGCUAACUACGUG